This 420-nucleotide ribosomal RNA is filed under the name uncultured bacterium. RNAcentral's name for it is "bacterial SSU rRNA". It matches the Rfam family "Bacterial small subunit ribosomal RNA", at positions 356 to 773 of the family's 1533-position model. The record is from RNAcentral.
AGGGAAUAUUGGGCAAUGGAGGCAACUCUGACCCAGCCACGCCGCGUGGAGGAUGAAGGUGCUAUGCAUCGUAAACUUCUUUUGUCAAGGGAGAAAGUGCUUGAUUAAUCAGGUUUUGACGGUACUUGGCGAAUAAGCAUCGGCUAACUACGUGCCAGCAGCCGCGGUAAUACGUAGGAUGCAAGCGUUAUCCGGAAUCACUGGGUUUAAAGGGUCUGUAGGCGGUAUCAUAAGUCAGUGGUGAAAUAUCUGGGCUUAACUUGGAGGGUGCCAUUGAUACUGUAGUACUUGAGAUAGAAUGACGUGGGCGGAAUGUGUCAUGUAGCGGUGAAAUGCUUAGAGAUGACACAGAACACCGAUUGCGAAGGCAGCUCACGAAGCCUUAUCUGACGCUGAGGGACGAAAGCGUGGGGAGCAAAC